UGGGCUUGACAUGGUGCUGCAAGCGCACGGAAACGUGUGACCUUCGAGGGUGCAGCACCUCUACACAGACCUCCGAAGAGGGGACCUCAUCUCUGGAAGCCGUCCUACCAUGUCAAACGCUGGUAAGGUUCUGCGCGUUGCUUCGAAUUAAACCACAUGCUCCACCGCUUGUGCAGGCCCCCGUCAAUUUCUUUGAGUUUUAACCUUGCGGCCGUACUCCCCAGGCGGAUGACUUAACGCGUUAGCUGCGCCACCGAAACGCUAAGCGCCCCGACAGCUAGUCAUCAUCGUUUACGGCGUGGACUAC
Molecule: unclassified non-coding RNA, 307 nt
Filed under: uncultured Sphingomonadaceae bacterium
Lineage: Bacteria; Pseudomonadati; Pseudomonadota; Alphaproteobacteria; Sphingomonadales; Sphingomonadaceae
Description: contains 16S-23S intergenic spacer region
Source: RNAcentral